CAGUCGCCGCGGUAAUACGAAGGGGGCUAGCGUUGUUCGGAUUUACUGGGCGUAAAGCGCACGUAGGCGGACUUUUAAGUCAGGGGUGAAAUCCCGGGGCUCAACCCCGGAACUGCCUUUGAUACUGGAAGUCUUGAGUAUGGUAGAGGUGAGUGGAAUUCCGAGUGUAGAGGUGAAAUUCGUAGAUAUUCGGAAGAACACCAGUGGCGAAGGCGGCUUACUGGCCCAUUACUGACGCUGAGGCUCGAAAGCGUGGGGAGCAAACAGGAUUAGAUACCCCUGUAGUCCCUGUCUCUUAUAC
Molecule: ribosomal RNA, 301 nt
Filed under: uncultured bacterium
Lineage: Bacteria
Description: partial 16S ribosomal RNA
Rfam family: Bacterial small subunit ribosomal RNA
Source: RNAcentral